RNAcentral lists this long non-coding RNA (537 nucleotides) under Phascolarctos cinereus (koala). RNAcentral describes it as "lncRNA (ENSPCIG00000034964.1)". The record is from RNAcentral. Lineage: Eukaryota; Metazoa; Chordata; Mammalia; Diprotodontia; Phascolarctidae.
GACCUCGUGGCAUUAGCUUGACCUGGCAAUAUGGUCCUCUUUCCCUGAGAGGAUACCCUCCCUGUGUCGCAGAGUGGCCCAGAGCCUUCUCACUUUAUGACCCCCACAAGGACCAAGGAUUCUUCCUGAGUCCCCAUUGUGGCUGAUAAUGAGAGGAAACAUGGAAAAGGCAAAGUGUGUCCUGUGCACUGCAGCCUCUUGUCGACAAGAGAACCGUACCCCCUGCGCUCCUCCGGCAGGUGCCAGAAAAAGUUGGCAUAUCUUGUGGUAGCUGAAGCUGUCACCAUAUGCUGGGAGGUCAAACAAAGAAAUGAGGGCUGAGAGGUAAGCUGAGGCACAGAGAGGUUAUGUGACUUGCCUAAGGUCACACAGUAAGUGACUGGAUCAGGAUAUGAAACCAGCUCUUGCUGACUCCAAGUCCAGGACUCUAUUUACUGUGCUACCUCUUCCUUGUCCUCUAGUUUGAGACCUUCCCUUACCCCCAAAGCAAGAACCUAUGUGCCAUGCUUGGCUGCUCACCUGGGUGCCCAUGUUUGC